Molecule: long non-coding RNA, 1443 nt
Organism: Asterias rubens (European starfish)
Lineage: Eukaryota; Metazoa; Echinodermata; Asteroidea; Forcipulatida; Asteriidae
Exons: 3
Source: RefSeq, a predicted model, not a curated record
AAAACGCUAUUCCACAACACCACUUCUUCUGGCACGUCAGAGAAAUUAGGAGUUAAAUUUCAAGAGCAUUUGAAGACAAACACAUCCAGAUUAAUACUAUUGUUCAAUAUGGGUCGAUUUGGACGUUUGGUCAUCUUCACUUUCCUCCUUGCACAGAUAGGCCUAUUUCAACUUGAGGGUUUCCUUCUGACUCCGGCAGAACAGAGUGAAAACAGCAAAUGUGAUGGCAUUGCAAACACAAAAUGCACCACUAGUGAAGACUGCAAUAUCCUUGGUUGCAAGCAGUUUAUCUGCAGGGUCACCCAUUGCAUCUUACAGACAGAACAUGACCAUAUGAAUAUCAACUAGUUUGACGAUACUGCAUUUCGGAAUACAAUUUACAAGCACAGAUCGAUAACUUUUCAACAAAGAAAAAGGAACCCAAAACCGCCGACGGAAGAAUCUUGCUGAUGUUGAAGCAACAAAAACACAAACAAUUAUGGCAAGCAAUGGUUUUAUGAUAAUUUUGCGACUUAUCUAAAUUGAUUUCAAAAUAAAUUUAAAGUUUUUGGGGAUAUGAAACGUUUUUAAAUACUAGAAAUAUAUUUUAAAGAGACCCUAUAUAUACAAUCCAAAAAUCAAAUCCAGAAAAUCGUUCUCAAAAUUAUCUCGAAAACAUUUUAAGAUAUCUCAAACCUUUUUGUUUGUUUGGGUGCUUGCUUAAUAUUGGUUUGCUUUUUGUCUGAAUGUUAAUUAUAAAUAAAAGGUGCGGACAACAUAAGUUGUUUACUUGUAACUAAUUUACUAAUUUACAAAAAAUUACAUUAAAAAGAUUGUAAACAUGGUGGAAAUCUUCCCUUCUUCAAGUAAGUUUUAUUGAAAUUACAGUGGCCUUUAGUUUUUCUGAGAAUGAGUAAAAAGUACUGUGUGCUAUCUAUCUUGGGAGUCCAAAACUCGAUGUUUGAGAACAUUGUGAACAAGUUUACAAUGGUCUUCACUAUGUUUUUAUUUAUGCAUAUUUGUUUAUAGAGUGUGCAAGUCUCAAGCAUAUUUAAAAAUUCCAAGACAAGUAUAGCAAUUGUAAUAAGUAUUUUUGUUGUUAUUAAUUAUUUUUUUAAACAAAGAUUAGCUUUACGCAAAACUAAAUUCUUUGUUUGACGUGUUUCUUGUCCCGAUACGCGCCAGAUUUGCACAGUUUAUUAUUGAUGUAUGUAUUUAUUUAUUUACUUAUUUAUUUAUAUAUAUAUACUUUUUUUGUUGCGACUCCGAUUACCAAUAAGUUUAAACUUUCUCAUGUUUUUAUUUCAAAGUGCUAUAGGCUACUGAUCUUGGACAAUACCAAUGUCUGCAUGCUUUAGGUAAACUAAAGAUACCAAUCCAAUACCUGUCCAUUUCAUUGGAUCAGAUAUAUUUCGACAUUGAAGUUCCAAACAUUGCAAUUUUAUUUUAAAGGCACUGAAAACG